UCCGUAGGUGAACCUGCGGAAGGAUCAUUACAGAAAGUAAACGCGGAUCAAACCGCGAACUUCUAAACCUUUGACGAUUGACUCAUGUUGCCUCGGCGGGUUCUCCCGCCAGAGGAUACGUCAAAACUCCUGUUUUAACGGUGUUGUCUGAGCUACAAGCAACGAAUCAAAACUUUCAACAACGGAUCUCUUGGUUCUGGCAUCGAUGAAGAACGCAGCGAAAUGCGAUAAGUAGUGUGAAUUGCAGAAUUCAGUGAAUCAUCGAAUCUUUGAACGCACAUUGCGCCCCUUGGUAUCCCGAGGGGCAUGCCUGUUCGAGCGUCAUUUCACCACUCAAGCCUGGCUUGGUGUUGGGCGACGUCCCCUUUGGGGACGCGCCUCGAAACGCUCGGUGGCGUGGCACCGGCUUUAAGCGUAGCAGAAUCUUUCGCUUCAAAAGUCGGGGCCCCGUCUGCCGGAAGACCUACUCGCAAGGUGACCUCGGAUCAGGCA
This 492-nucleotide ribosomal RNA is filed under the name Cenococcum geophilum. RNAcentral describes it as "eukaryotic LSU rRNA". The stretch from base 171 to 324 matches the Rfam family "5.8S ribosomal RNA". Lineage: Eukaryota; Fungi; Ascomycota; Dothideomycetes; Gloniales; Gloniaceae. The record is from RNAcentral.